Non-coding RNA from Macaca mulatta (Rhesus monkey), 1772 nucleotides. Lineage: Eukaryota; Metazoa; Chordata; Mammalia; Primates; Cercopithecidae. The record is from RefSeq and is a predicted model, not a curated record.
CCACCUGCCUCAGCCUCCCAAAGUGCUGGGAUUACAGGCAUGAGCCACCGUACCCGGUGUGUGAGUAUUCUUAAUUAUGAUAAUAGUUAUUUGCAUAAGUACAAUAAGAAUCUGUUUUCAUUUGUAACAGGACACAAUUGGAGAAACUGGUUAUUUUACCAAGGCUUUGACUGGAAUGGUGUGCUUUCCUUUAAGGAAUCAAACUUGACUUAUGGAGCCAAUAUAAGCCCCUUGGAAAAACUGGCUUCAUACCUUUGUCUGCACAGUCCCUGUAUAGGGUUCCUGACCUGUGGACAUGCCUUUUGCCUUCUGCCAUGAUUGUGAGGCUUCCCCAGCCACGUGAAACUGAUAUGAGACUUCACAACCUGCUGAAAAUGAGCUUUCCUCAUAACUCAGGACCUACGCGUCUAGGAAUAAACCAUCCUAAACAUGAAAGAUCAGACAAAAUGUGAGACCAGAGACUCAUUUACAGGAUUUCAAUACUUUGUUACCGGAUAUGGACUGGUAUAUGAAAUGAAAUAAAUGGCCAGAUAGGUGCUAAGAAUUUAAAUAGUUCACUUGUUAUACCAAGAUUGUUUCAUGAGAUACAAGCAAUUCAAACCUGAAUCCUGCAUCUCUCUUCCAAGUUAUCAGUCCAGAGAAUGAACUCUUGUGAACAAAGGAAAGGGAGAAAUGAAGCUUGGGAUUGGGAGUAGAUGUGUUAGAGGCUAAGAGGUGGAAAUGCUGGCCUUCUAUCCACUACGGGGACCUACCACCCAAAGAGCACACCAUCGCAAGGGCCUCGUAUUCUCACCCACAUUCACAAAUAGAGACAUGCAGACUUUAUUGGAAAAAAAUUAACUGGCUUCUACACAACGCUUUAAACUGAGGUGAAUGGGACUGUCUUCACCUGGUAAUCAGGGUAACUGGAUUUCAGCCCAGAAUCUUCCACCAACCAGCUGUGUGACCUCAGGCAAGUCACCUCUCUUUUCUGGCCUCAUCUUUGCCUUCUGUAAAGUGAGACCCUUGGUCUAGGAUGGGUGAUCUCUAAGUUUCUUUCUCAAUUUCCCAUUUUGUAAUUCUCAUUCUUUAAUAAAAAUAGGCCCUGUAUCUGUUGUAGGAAAAACUGAGAUUAUUAUCUGGGGGAAAUUGAUAACCUAGAUUUUUUUUCCUAGCAAACUGUAGGGUCUAGUAUAUUUUCUGAGCCACAUCAGGAACUGUGUCCUGAGCUCAAGGAAUGGUAUAGUACAGGCCUCUUGGACCUUCACAUAUCCGAACUUCAGAGAAAGCUCCCGUUAAAAGCAAUUAAUACAGCAUACCAAAGGGAGAGAAGAGAGGUGACAACUGUAGUGGUUUUUGCCCCGCCUUGAUGAGAUGGGAAGGGGAAUCUAGCAGGUGGGGCAGACAACGCUGCCCUUGGGGCAGUUUGUGCUUCACAGUGUUGUGAAGUCCAACUAAGAGGGUUUUGUCAAGAUUCUUUUUUCUGUGUGUUUAAACAGUUAUACAACAAUUGAAUUAGUCUGCUCGCCUAGACUCCCUGCCAUGAAAAUCAUCAAACAAGCCUGGAAGAAUCCUACUGCGGGGCCUUUGCCAGCAGAGUGCUAGGAUUUCUGGAAGCUGGGCAUCUUCUCACACACAGUGGCCAGCGUUGGCUUUGGAGUUUCUUACCUUGUUUUCCCAGCACCUGAGGAGAACUUUGGCCCCAAAGAGACUGCCCAGGUCUGGGGCAAUGCUAUUUGACAUUGUAUCCUCGGUCAUGGGAGUAAAUAUGCCCCCUUCAGGUGUGGCACAGA